Long non-coding RNA from Dermochelys coriacea (leatherback sea turtle), 2287 nucleotides. RefSeq lists it as uncharacterized. The transcript has 5 exons. NCBI's taxonomy places the organism in Eukaryota, Metazoa, Chordata, Testudines, Dermochelyidae. The record is from RefSeq and is a predicted model, not a curated record.
CUUUUAUGGACACCCAGCCAACCAGUUAGCUAUAAAGUCCCUCUUGGUGUCUGUUCUCUGCUUGUUUUACCUUUAAAGGGUUAACAGAGCCCCCCAGGUAAAGGAAAGGGAGUGGGCACCUGACCAAAAGAGCCAAUAGGAAGGCUAGAACUGUUUAAAAUGGGGAACCAACUGCCCCUUUGUGUCUGUUGUUCUCUGGGAAAGAGGGGAGCAGUUAUGCUAUGAGACGCUGAAAGCCAGGUAUGAGCAUAGAUCAUACCUAGAACUACUUAUUUGGAACCCCUAAAUGUAUUCUGCUCUGUUAUUCUCUCAGGACAAAUUAAAAUGCAGUGCAGUAAACCAUGGUAACCCACUGUUUAAAUGGACUCUGGCAGCUGUAUGCAAGCUAAGGCAUGAAGGGUACAAUAAAUAAUCUAUUAUGUAUUGAACCAAAGAAUGGGACAGAGAUACCCUUCAAUAGCGAGACCAAAUGGAGAAACAUCUCCAUAUAGAGAGGUCUAUUUGAAGAAACCACCAUCGAAGGAAGAUGUAUGUGACCACAUCCAGGUUAAGAGACCAUUUUUGGUGAUUCAUAAAUGAUCUAUUCAGAUGAUCUGACAGACCAUUUUGGACUCCCAGUAAGUAAAAAGCUUCUAGAUCUAUUGAACUGGCAAUGCCGAGUUCCCAAGCAGAGUUGCUUCGACAGAGUGGAGAAGAGUGGACUCCUCCCUGCGUGUUGAGAUGGAACAUAGCUGCUGUGUUGUCUGUGAGAACUAUGAGAACUGUGGGAACAAGCUAUUUCCUUUGAUCUAUGGCAGAAACACUUGCCACACCAAUCCCACAGCUUUCAGCUCUUGGAUGUUGAUGUCCAUAGAACUUUGCUUUACACACCAUAGACCCUAAGUCUAUAGAGAAUCCUGAUGGUGCUCCCAGACAAGGGCAAAUGCAUCUGUCACUAAUGUGAGCAUCAGUUGUGGGCGGCCAAAGGGAACAUCUAGACAUACAUUAUCCAGAGCUGUCCACCAAUCUAGGGAGGUGAUGAUAUGAGAAGGCACCCUCACCACCGACUCUAGAUGGCGAUGGCUCAGUGGGUAGACUAAGGCCAGCCAGCCUUGUAGAAUUCUGAUGAACAGUCUAGUGUAUUGAACCACAUAAAUGUGGGAGGCCAUAUAUUCCAGGAGCCUCAAACAGUUUUGUGCUGUAGUGACCGGGAGAGCUUUGAGAUCUACAGUGAUUGAAUUGCCUGAAACCUCCAGUCUGGAAGAAAAGCUCUGGCCUGAGUUGACUGGAUCAGAGCUACACAGAAUCAGCCCUUGACAAGCCAGUCAUCCGAGUAAAAGUAAAUUUGGACUCCUGAUCUUUUGAGGAAGGCAGUUACUACUGCCAUAACUUUUGUAAAAACAUUAGGAGCUCCUGACAAGCCAAAUGGUAGUACCACUAAUUAUUUUGAUUUACCAGAAAUCUGAGGUACUUCCUCAGCGCUUGGUGGAUUGCCACAUGGAAGUAGGAAUCUUUUAAGUUGAGCGUGGCAUACCAGUCUCCAGGGAGUGGAUAAGAGAAGUGAAGGUGACCAUGCAAAACUUCACCUUUUUUAAGAAUCUGUUAAGUUGAUGCAGGUCUAAAACUGGUCUGAGACACUUAUACACCCCACUUUCAGGAUCAUGAAAUUGCCGGAAUAAAACCCCUUUCCUCUGAGACAGUGUGGAACCUCCUCUAUAGUCCCCAACCAAAUGAGAAAGUAUACCUCCUGGUGAAGGAGUUCCUGAUGAGAGUGUCCCUGAAGAGAGAUGGGCAGGGAGGGAUAGAAACAAAUUGGUAGAUAUAUGCCACUUCCACAGUGUUCAUGAUCCACUAGUCCAAAGUAAUCCAGGCCAAGGAUUGAAGAAGUGGGACGUUUGCAAACCAUUUGUUGGGGAGAUAGGGCCUGGAAACUUGCAUGGAAUCCUCAAGAGGCUCAUCAAAAUGAUUGUGUGGCACUUCCCACAUAUCUUGGGAAGUCUUAAAGGGCCUGGAGUUGGAGCAGCAAUGGGGGGAGGCGUGUUUCAAUAACCCCUGGACCUCCUUUUUGUCAGGUCCUAUUGAGGAGGUGGCAGCCUGAUUCCCCAAAAGGUCUCUCUCAUUAGCUGCUGUAACAGUUCUGGAGGUGGAUGGGAGUAAAGAUAAUCCAACCCUGGAAAGGGCACAUAGUUCUUGUGCUCUGCCCAUUUGAGGUGGGAGAGAAUGAAGAUAGGCUCUGCCAUAGUGUCUAUGUGGGCUCCAAUAUCAUCUCAUUGAUUGGCAGUGCCACCCUAGAUAGACAUUUUAGUGA